Molecule: ribosomal RNA, 496 nt
Filed under: uncultured bacterium
Lineage: Bacteria
Description: partial 16S ribosomal RNA
Rfam family: Bacterial small subunit ribosomal RNA
Source: RNAcentral
AUGAACGCUGGCGGCGUGCCUAAUACAUGCAAGUCGCGCGAACGGACGAGAAGCUUGCUUCUCUGAUGUUAGCGGCGGACGGGUGAGUAACACGUGGAUAACCUACCUAUAAGACUGGGAUAACUUCGGGAAACCGGAGCUAAUACCGGAUAAUAUUUUGAACCGCAUGGUUCAAAAGUGAAAGACGGUCUUGCUGUCACUUAUAGAUGGAUCCGCGCUGCAUUAGCUAGUUGGUAAGGUAACGGCUUACCAAGGCAACGAUGCAUAGCCGACCUGAGAGGGUGAUCGGCCACACUGGAACUGAGACACGGUCCAGACUCCUACGGGAGGCAGCAGUAGGAAAUCUUCCGCAAUGGGCGAAAGCCUGACGGAGCAACGCCGCGUGAGUGAUGAAGGUCUUCGGAUCGUAAAACUCUGUUAUUAGGGAAGAACAUAUGUGUAAGUAACUGUGCACAUCUUGACGGUACCUAAUCAGAAAGCCACGGCUAACUACGUG